Molecule: unclassified non-coding RNA, 609 nt
Filed under: Hevea brasiliensis (rubber tree)
Lineage: Eukaryota; Viridiplantae; Streptophyta; Magnoliopsida; Malpighiales; Euphorbiaceae
Source: RNAcentral
GACCCGCCGUUUGAUCUCGCCUACAUCACCACAACGCAUUUCCUCGAGCGCAUUCAUCCAAAAACGCUGGUGGUGAACAACCCAGCCAGCGUGCGCAACGCGCCGGAAAAAAUCUUCGUGAUGGAAUUCGCGGACCUGAUGCCGCCGACGCUGAUUUCGCGCGACAAGGACGAGAUCAACGCCUUCCGCGCCGAGCAGGGCGACGUGGUGAUGAAGCCGCUGUACGGCCAUGGCGGCGCUGCGGGGUNNNNNNNNNNNNCGAACGACAUGAACUUUGGUUCGCUCUACGACAUGUUCUCGGUGACGUUCCGCGAGCCGUGGGUGAUCCAGCGCUUUCUUCCCGAAGUGAAGCAUGGCGACAAGCGCAUCAUCCUUGUCGACGGCGAAUUCGCCGGCGCCGUGAACCGCGUGCCGGCCGCAGACGAUCUGCGCUCCAACAUGGUGCGCGGCGGCGCAGCGGCCGCGACCGAUCUGUCGCCGCGCGAGCGCGAAAUCUGCGAACGGCUGAAGCCCGCGCUGCGCGAGCGCGGCCUCCUGUUCGUCGGCAUCGAUGUGAUCGACGGCCACCUGACGGAAAUCAACGUCACCUCGCCGACCGGCAUCCGGGCC